ACACAAACGUUUGCUUUCUAUUUAAAAUGGAACGUGGAAACGAAGACUGUGAGCGACAACCACAGCGUGUAAGUUUCUUGCCUGUAAAUCUCUGCUCUGCUUGGGGAGAUAAAAACGACCCAAAUGAAAUGAAGACGCACGUCAAAGAUUUUUUUCUACUCAAGCAUGGCGGUGAUAAUUGGAUUGUGUGGACACCUGUAUGAGUGCAGUAUUUCCAGGGGAUUAGAGAACGGGAUGGCUUUUGCAGGUUCUGUCCAGACCCGUGGACUGAGUUCACCUGACUGUUGUCUCGCGAUGGACCAGAUCUGCACAUUUGGGGACGUCGGUGUCAGCACACUUGAAGCAUCAACUUUGACCUCUCAGUAA
RNAcentral lists this long non-coding RNA (366 nucleotides) under Carassius auratus (goldfish). Its description in RNAcentral is "lncRNA (ENSCARG00000053493.1)". The record is from RNAcentral. Lineage: Eukaryota; Metazoa; Chordata; Actinopteri; Cypriniformes; Cyprinidae.